GACCGCCUCGUAAUUGAUACAGAGGAGGAGCUCAUUCCCAUUGAUUCGGGGGAAGAGGAGCCAGAUUAUAUAAUUAUUGACAGUGAGGAUGAGGAUGAAAAACCCUCUCCCCAACAACCCUCUCCCCAACUUGGCCCUACACUGGAACAGGCCAUGGAGGAGGAGGAGGAUGAUGAUGAUGCUGCUGCAUUUAGUGGUAAGAAUUAUUACUGACAUUGAUCUGAUGCCAUCAGAGUAG
Pseudophryne corroboree (corroboree frog) is the source of this 238-nucleotide long non-coding RNA. RefSeq lists it as uncharacterized. The transcript is spliced from 3 exons. NCBI's taxonomy places the organism in Eukaryota, Metazoa, Chordata, Amphibia, Anura, Myobatrachidae. The record is from RefSeq and is a predicted model, not a curated record.